RNAcentral lists this ribosomal RNA (775 nucleotides) under uncultured Neocallimastigales. RNAcentral's name for it is "partial large subunit ribosomal RNA". It matches the Rfam family "Eukaryotic large subunit ribosomal RNA", at positions 23 to 620 of the family's 3401-position model. The record is from RNAcentral. Lineage: Eukaryota; Fungi; Neocallimastigomycota; Neocallimastigomycetes; Neocallimastigales.
AGAGAGAGACAUGCGCGCAUAUCAAUAAGCGGAGGAAAAGAAACUAACAAGGAUUCCCUUAGUAACGGCGAGUGAAGCGGGAAGAGCUCAAAUUUGAAAUCUUCAAGGUUUUACCUUGACGAAUUGUAGUUUAAAGAAGUGUUUUCUGCUGAAGUUUUGGUAAAAGUUCUUUGGAAUAGGACAUCAUAGAGGGUGAGAAUCCCGUAUUUGACCAUUAUUUUCAGCUUUGUGAUACACUUUCAAAGAGUCGGAUUGUUUGGGAAUGCAGUCCAAAAUGGGUGGUAAAUUUCAUCUAAAGCUAAAUAUUGGCGAGAGACCGAUAGCGAACAAGUACCGUGAGGGAAAGAUGAAAAGAACUUUGAAAAGAGAGUUAAACAGUACGUGAAAUUGUCAAAAGGGAAGCGUUUGACACCAGUGUUGUUUUCUCGAAAAUCAAUUAAAAAUGGCUCGAUUUUGUAUUGCUUGAGACCUUAAAAGCUCACUGUACAUUUUUCGUGUCUUUUUUAAUGCACUUUUCGUUUAACAAGUCAACAUCAGUUUCUUUUGUUGUAAAAGGGUCAUUGGAAGGUGGCUUUCUUUUCGGAGAAAGUGUUUAUAGCCUUUGGCCUCUGCAAUCGAAGAGACUGAGGUCUGCAGCGUAGACUCUUCGGGGUUAGAUACAUUUGUGCUAAGUUAUAGCUUUUUAUAGACAACCUGUUGACUAUAAUUAGUCUUGUAGCUUACUCGCUUAUGCUAUUUUACCUACGCUUAGGAUGUUGAAGAUGUAGCACAUCAU